This is an unclassified non-coding RNA of Fukomys damarensis (Damara mole-rat), 350 nucleotides long. Its record names the gene 7SK. It matches the Rfam family "7SK RNA". Rfam says of the family: 7SK was discovered as an abundant small nuclear RNA in the mid-70s but a possible function has only recently been suggested. Two independent studies have found that 7SK RNA binds the CDK9/cyclin T complex (known as elongation factor P-TEFb). P-TEFb activates transcription by phosphorylating the C-terminal domain of RNA polymerase II. The record is from Ensembl. Lineage: Eukaryota; Metazoa; Chordata; Mammalia; Rodentia; Bathyergidae.
GGAUGUGAGGGCGAUCUGGCUGCAACAUCGGUCACCCCAUUGAUUGCCAGGUUGACUUGGCUGAUCAGGCUGGCUAGGCAGGUGUCUCCUUUCUCCCUCACUGCUUCAUGUGUGUUCCUCCCAAAGCUGUGCAUGGGUCAAAGAGGAUGACCACCCCCUCCCCUCCCCCCAGUAAGGAGGACUGUUUUCUCAGUCAAGGGUUUGCACGUAGCUGUGCUUCCCUGCUAGAACCUGCAAACAAGCUCUCAAGGAUCCUAGGCUACAAAAGUGAGUUCAAGGCCAGCUUGGACUACGUAGCGAGACCUUAUCUCAAAACAAUAACAGCAACAACAAUAAGCCCAAAAUAUUGU